ACUCAAAUGAAUAGACGGGGAGGCGCACAACCAGUGGAGCAUGUGGUUCAAUUCGAGACGAACCGAAGAACCUUACCAGGGUUUGACAUGCUAUCGUUUUAGUCCUGCAGAAACGUGGGAUGAUCUUAUUGAAAAAUGAGAUGAUAGCACAGGUGUUGCAUGGCUGUCGUCAGCUCGUGCCGUGGGGUGUUCCCUUCAGUGGGGUAACGAGCGCAACCCCUGUCCCGUAUUAAAUAUUUACGGGAGACUUUUCAUCCUUGUGAUGGAAGGAAGUGGGGACGACGUCAAGUCAGCAUGGCCCUUAUGUCCUGGGCUACACACAUGCUACAAUGGAGCCGACAAUGGGUUGCCAAGCCGCAAGGCGGAGCUAAUCCCAUCAAACGGCUUCUCAGUGGGGAUUGAGGGCUGCAACUUGCCCUCAUGAACGCGGAAUUGGUAGUAAUCGGGUAUCAGCUACGGCCCGGUGAAUACGUUCUCGCCUCUUGUACACACCGCCCGU
RNAcentral lists this ribosomal RNA (499 nucleotides) under uncultured bacterium. RNAcentral's name for it is "partial 16S ribosomal RNA". It matches the Rfam family "Bacterial small subunit ribosomal RNA", at positions 899 to 1397 of the family's 1533-position model. The record is from RNAcentral.